RNAcentral lists this long non-coding RNA (472 nucleotides) under Brassica napus (rape). RNAcentral's name for it is "long non-coding RNA (BNAP_LNC015341)". The record is from RNAcentral. Lineage: Eukaryota; Viridiplantae; Streptophyta; Magnoliopsida; Brassicales; Brassicaceae.
UUAUUAAUAGUGGAGGUAAUGUUUAUUCCAACGUCAACUCAAACUUUCCAUAAACUAAACCCAAAACACUAAUCACUAUACCUUAAAAUAAAUAUAAAUCCUAACCCAACUAUCAAAACAAACUCAUAUAUUAAAAUAUGCAAACAGAAUAGUAACAAACAAAUAGCAUAGUACAUAUUGUUCAAAUUUUGAAAUGUCUAUAAUUAUAGAGAAGGAGGUAAAGCUUACCCCAGCGAGGUAAUGCUUACCUCAAAAUAAACUAAGCCUAAAACACUAAUCACUAAACCCUAAAAGGAAAUAUAAACUAUAACCCUAAUAUCAAAUAUGCACAUAGUACGUAAUAUGAAACAUUAUCAAAAUAACAUAGUACAUAUUAAUGUUCAAAUUUUAAAAUGUCUAUGAUUGCAGGAAAGCAGGUAAUGUUUACCCCAAAGUCAACACAAACCUUCGAUAAACUAAACCCAAAACACUA